RNAcentral lists this ribosomal RNA (469 nucleotides) under uncultured bacterium. RNAcentral describes it as "partial 16S ribosomal RNA". It matches the Rfam family "Bacterial small subunit ribosomal RNA", at positions 28 to 507 of the family's 1533-position model. The record is from RNAcentral.
GAUGAACGCUGGCGGCGUGCUUAACACAUGCAAGUCGAACGGUGAAGCUCCAGCUUGCUGGAGUGGAUCAGUGGCGAACGGGUGAGUAACACGUGAGCAACCUGCCCCUGACUCUGGGAUAACAGCCGGAAACGGCUGCUAAUACCGGAUAUGCACCAUGAACGCAUGUUCUGUGGUGGGAAAGAUUUUUCGGUUGGGGAUGGGCUCGCGGCCUAUCAGCUUGUUGGUGAGGUAAUGACUCACCAAGGCGUCGACGGGUAGCCGGCCUGAGAGGGUGACCGGCCACACUGGGACUGAGACACGGCCCAGACUCCUACGGGAGGCAGCAGUGGGGAAUAUUGCACAAUGGGCGAAAGCCUGAUGCAGCAACGCCGCGUGAGGGAUGACGGCCUUCGGGUUGUAAACCUCUUUUAGCAGGGAAGAAGCGAGAGUGACGGUACCUGCAGAAAAAGCGCCGGCUAACUACGUG